RNAcentral lists this ribosomal RNA (1082 nucleotides) under uncultured Rhizaria. RNAcentral's name for it is "SSU rRNA". It matches the Rfam family "Eukaryotic small subunit ribosomal RNA", at positions 577 to 1674 of the family's 1831-position model. The record is from RNAcentral.
CGGUAAUUCCAGCUCCAAUAGCGUAUACUAAAGUUGUUGCAGUUAAAAAGCUCGUAGUUGGAUUUCUGCGGGGACGGAGCGGCCGGACGCAACUUGCGUCUCGAGCUAGCGCUUUCCCCACAUCCUGCCGCGAACCGUGCUACCAUUAGCUUGGUGGCGCUGGGGAUCGGCUCGAUUACUUUGAGAAAAAUAGAGUGUUCAAAGCAGGCCACACGCCUUGAAUAAGUUAGCAUGGAAUAAUGACUAAGGACUUCGGUUCUAUUUUGUUGGUGUUCGGGACUGAAGUAAUGAUUGAUAGGGACAGUUGGGGCGGUCUGUAUUCCAAAGCGAGAGGUGAAAUUCUUAGACCUUCGGAAGACAAACAGCUGCGAAAGCGUUCCGCAAGGAUGUUCCCUUUGAUCAAGAACGAAAGUUGGGGGAUCGAAGACGAUCAGAUACCGUCGUAGUCUCAACUAUAAACUAUACCAGCUAGGGAUCGGCCAACGUUAAACUUUAUCGACUUGGUCGGCACCUUAUGAGAAAUCAAAGCAUCUGGGUUCCGGGGGGAGUAUGGUCGUAAGGCUGAAACUUAAAGGAAUUGACGGAAGGGCACCACCAGGCGUGGAGCCUGUGGCUUAAUUUGACUCAACACGGGAAAACUUACCAGGUCCAGACAUAGGAAGGAUUGACAGAUUGAUAGCUCUUUCUUGAUUCUGUGGGUGGUGGUGCAUGGCCGUUUUUAGUCGGUGAAGUGAUUUGUCUGCUCAAUUGCGUUAACGGACGAGACCCCAGCCUGCUAAAUAGCGCGGCCGAGCUUUGCUCGGUACGAGCUUCUUAGAGGGACCAUGAUGCGCGAUAGCACAAGGAAGUUUGGGGCAACAACAGGUCUGUGAUGCCCUUAGAUGUUCUGGGCCGCACACGGGCUACACUGGCGCCUGCAACGAGCAUAUCAGCUGGCCCGAGAGGGUCUUGGCUAAUCUUUGGAACCGGCGCCGUGCUUGGGAUUGACCAUUGCAAUUGUUGGUCAUGCAACGAGGAAUGCCUUGUAAACGCGAGUCAUCAGCUCGCAUUGAAUACGUCCCUGCCCCUUGUACACACCGCCC